UCGCUAGUAAUCGCGGAUCAGAAUGCCGCGGUGAAUACGUUCCCGGGUCUUGUACACACCGCCCGUCACACCAUGGGAGUCGGAAAUGCCCGAAGUCUGUGACCCAACCUACGGGAGGGAGCAGCCGAAGGCAGGUCGGAUGACUGGGGUGAAGUCGUAACAAGGUAGC
Molecule: ribosomal RNA, 169 nt
Filed under: uncultured bacterium
Lineage: Bacteria
Description: partial 16S ribosomal RNA
Rfam family: Bacterial small subunit ribosomal RNA
Source: RNAcentral